Molecule: long non-coding RNA, 3801 nt
Organism: Meriones unguiculatus (Mongolian gerbil)
Lineage: Eukaryota; Metazoa; Chordata; Mammalia; Rodentia; Muridae
Exons: 4
Source: RefSeq, a predicted model, not a curated record
CUUCAUACUGGUUAAUCCCUCCUGCACUAGGCCAGGAAAUGGGGUCACAUAGAACUUCAUAAUUUUUUUCAGUUUAUCUCUAGGGAGAAACUGUCUUUUAUACUUCCAGUUUCUAGUUUUCCCUAAGAACGCUGCUAAUUGGAUUAAAAUGUGUCACCACUAGGAUCCUGGACCAAUCCUCUGGGGCAAGAGUAAUGGGACAGGACAAUCGACCAACAAGAAGCAAAUAUGUGAAAAGAAGCCCUUUUUAAUCCACUGCUGGAGAUGUUUGCUCUUGAGGACACGGCAGCUGCUUGUGAUACCCAGGAUACAGAGAAAUUCUCCUGUUAAAUACAACAAAAUGAACCAAAUAAUCCGACCCACUGAAGAGUUCCACAGAGGACCAAGAACAAUUCUUCCCACAGCUUUAGACUCUCGUCCUACUGAUGGAUUUUCUGUGAAUCCCAAGAUGAAUCACAAGUGUUUUCCUCCUCUUCAAAUCUCCCAGCUCUGCCUGUACUCUGGGACACUCCAUAGAUUUUUCUCUUCAUGAGUAAAAAAAACCCAAGAGGAAGGAAGCCCCAGAGAAAAUAUUCCUGUGGCGGAGAGACUGGAAGACUAAGUGAAGGAUGCCAUUUGCUCAGCUUCCAAAUACCCUGACUUCCAGAUCCAUAGGCACCCACUCCAGGAGCUCACUUUGUGCGAGCAAGGUACCCCAUAAUGGAGCUGCAUUGUGAACCUUACCCCCACACCGUCCCCACGGCCCCUCAAUGUUCUCAUUCUUAAUGUGUUUCUGGGCCAUUUUCCCCUCCAAGAUUCAUUUAUAGGACUAAAGACAUUAUAUGAAAUUAUAUUUGUCUUUAAAUUAUUAAAAAUUUAGUGAAUGCAGAAAAUUAAAAUCACAAGUAAUCCAAUUUCCUAAUGAAAUUUAGAGUUUACAUUUUGGUUUAUAAUUUCCAGUGUCUCUUCCCUUAUGCCCCAGGGCUCCUUAGAAUAGCAAUGACUGCAGAAGAAACAUAUUCUAGAGAAGCCACAACAUUUGUCAUGCCAAAAAUUCUACCCAGCAGAAUCCAAACAAGCCCUGCAUUAGUUAUUUUUAUAUUGCUGUGAUAAAACACCAUGGCCAAGGGUUUAUUUGGGCUAAUGGUCCUAGAGGAGUAAAAGUCUGUCAUGGUGGGAGAAUGGAUAUAUUUGAAUCACAAGCACAGAACAGAGAUAGUGAACUGGGAAAAACAGGAGGCUUUUAAAACCUCAUGUCCCACCCCCAUGACAUACCUUUGCCAGCAAGUUCAUACCUUCUAAUUCUAUCCAAACAGCACCACCAACAGGGGACCAAGUAGUCACAUGCCUGAGAUCAUGGGUGACAUUUCAUUGAGACCCCAUAUCUGAAAAAUCAGGUUUGAGCCCAUGUAUACCUCUAGGUCUUAGUCCACAGACAACUUGCAAGAAGUGAAAACUGGGGGCUGAGGAUGUGUCUGGACUGGCAGAGUGUCUGCCUAGAAUUCUUAAAAUCCUGGGUUGGACUCCUCCUACCUCUUCACAAACCAGGCAUGACUGCACACUCCUCUAACCCUAGUUCUUGGAAGGUGGAAACGGGAGGAUCAAAACCGGAAGGUCGUCUUCUGCUACAUAAUUAAUUUGAGGUCAGCACAAGAUGCUACACAUGUCCCAGUCCUACAAAAGGAAAAUAAAUAAAAGUGCUGUGGGGAUGGAGAUGGUCUCGCUGGUAAAGUUCUUCCAUCGCAACCCUGAGGACCUGAGACAGAUCUCCCAGAAGCCAUGUUAAAAGGCUGGUCACAGUGGCCUGGGUGCAUAACCCUACUACCGGGGAGAUAGAGACUUGCGGAUUCCUGGCACUUCCUGGCCAGGAGCUUCCUGGUGAGUUUUAAGCCAGUGAGAGGGCCCUUUUCCGAAAAUAGGGCAAUGAAUUGCUGAGGAAAGACUUCUGACACUGAACUCUGGUCAUCACAUGCACGUGCAAGCACAUGUACUUAGAGCGGAGGGAGAAUGCUAGCCUUCCAUCCUGGAACAAAGAAAAGAAACAAUAGUUCGUUCAAAGGCUGGUAUUGUGUGCAAGAAGAUACAACAUCUGUGGCAACCACCUUUGUUUAUUCUCUGCUUAUUGUCAGGUCUGUUCAGGCUGUAAUGAGUUACUGCUUUAGGGCUUUGCAUAUUGAAAUCAUGUGUUUUUCCUUGUGAUCAGGAACGCAGAAAGAAAAAAGGAGGGGCAUUUACCGAGCUAUCACACAAUUAAGAUUAUUCAUUGUCAUGUCUCUUUGGUUUGUUGUGUUUUGUGAAAGAUGUGUCUGGUCUCCAUUGUUUUUAUUAUUUUCAGCUGUCCUAAUUACUUCUCUCAUUUGAUUUCAAUUCAGCUUUCAAAGAGGCACUGUCUUACCAGGUGGUUAUUAUGUUUUUUUUUUUUCUCUCUCUCUCUUCUUAAAUCCUUUUAACUUUUAUUUAAAAAGAUGUCGAAAGAAAUAACUAUUUUGACAUUUACUUGUAACAUAUUCACGACCCCACUGAAGAGGGGUAUCUGUGUUAUUAAUGUGUAUUUCUGCCUUUUUUUUCCCCCUGCCACUCAUGUCCAAAGUGUAGAAAGUCAGCUCAGCUUUUCAAAAUCUUUCAUUUUUUCCCUCUGUAAGUUAAAUGAUAAAGACAGAUAUUAGAGAUGAAAACACUUUCUAAAUCAGUAAUCUAAACUAAUAUACAGGUAUAUAUAUAUACCUGGCUAGUUUUAGGUCAAGUUGGCACAAGCUCCUCAUCUGAGAGGAGAAAAACCUCAAUUAUAAAAAUGAUGUAUUAAGAAAAUUAAUUAAGAAAAGGUUGUAUGAAAGCCUAUGGGACAUUUUCUUCACUAGUGAUUGAUAAGCCAGGUCCCAGCCCAUUGUGGGUGGUGCCAUCCUUGGGCAGGUGGUUCUGGGUUCUAUAAAAAGCAGGCUGAGCAAGCCAUGUGGAACAAGCCAGUAAGCAGCACUCCUCCACAGCCUUUGCUUCUGCCUCUAGGUUGCAGCCCUGUGUAAGUUUUGGUCUUGACUCCCUUUGCUAAUGAACAGUUAUGGUGGAAGUGUAAGCCAAAUAAAUUCUUUCCUCUCAAGUUCCUUUAGUCAUGAUGUUUUAUCACAGCAAUAGAAAUUGUAACUACGACACAAUGCUUGAUUUGUUUGUAUAAAGUUGGACUUUAUUGGGGCUAUAUUUCAAUAUCUGAGAUAUUAAAACUGAAGAGAAAGAAAAAGAGUGGCUUUAGAGGUCAAAUGGAAAUUAAGGUCAAUGUCAGCUUUAUGUGGCCUUAUGGGCCAGUUUUCUGUUUACCAUAGGGAAGUGAAACAAAUACUAUCUCAGCAUUAAAUAGCAGCAUGAUUAAAUCCAUUCUGUUCUGCUAAACAGACAUGUUAUCAGAUGCCUCCAGAAUAUUAUUUAUAUUUAUCCCCAUAAAUUAGCUCUGCCCUCAACACUGGCUGGAGAAACUUCUCUCUGCAGUUGGCAGCAGUCAAUGAAGAAAUUUCUAACUUGUCAGUGUGCUGAGGAUGAGUGAAAAAUGCUCAGCUCUAAGUGGGACUCCUACACUGACCCCCACUCAAGGAUCAGAGACGCUAGAAGUGUGGAGAAUGUAAGAUCUGUAGGAUGGGAGGAGUGCUAUCUGGACAUGGCCUCACCAUUGCCUUCAUGAAUGUGCUACAGCUGUGGUUUCCUGCACAAGGUCUAAAGGGGCCAAGACAAGAUUGGUUAACAUUCCAGCAGGUUGCAUGAAUUGGGAUCAGUCAAUUAUACUGACAGAAAGAAAGAAAAAGAAAGAAAGAAAGAAAGAAAGAAAGAAAGAGAAAG